This 468-nucleotide ribosomal RNA is filed under the name uncultured bacterium. RNAcentral's name for it is "partial 16S ribosomal RNA". It matches the Rfam family "Bacterial small subunit ribosomal RNA", at positions 28 to 507 of the family's 1533-position model. The record is from RNAcentral.
GACGAACGCUGGCGGCGUGCUUAACACAUGCAAGUCGAACGGAAAGGCCCUGCUUUUGUGGGGUGCUCGAGUGGCGAACGGGUGAUUAACAAGUGAGUAACCUGCCCUUGACUUUGGGAUAACUUCAGGAAACUGGGGCUAAUACCGGAUAGGAGCUCCUGCUGCAUGGUGGGGGUUGGAAAGUUUCGGCGGUUGGGGAUGGACUCGCGGCUUAUCAGCUUGUUGGUGGGGUAGUGGCUUACCAAGGCUUUGACGGGUAGCCGGCCUGAGAGGGUGACCGGCCACAUUGGGACUGAGAUACGGCCCAGACUCCUACGGGAGGCAGCAGUGGGGAAUAUUGAACAAUGGGCGGAAGCCUGAUGCAGCAACGCCGCGUGCGGGAUGACGGCCUUCGGGUUGUAAACCGCUUUCGCCUGUGACGAAGCGUGAGUGACGGUAAUGGGUAAAGAAGCACCGGCUAACUACGUG